Molecule: ribosomal RNA, 437 nt
Filed under: uncultured Defluviitaleaceae bacterium
Lineage: Bacteria; Bacillati; Bacillota; Clostridia; Lachnospirales; Defluviitaleaceae
Description: bacterial SSU rRNA
Rfam family: Bacterial small subunit ribosomal RNA
Source: RNAcentral
ACGGGAGGCAGCAGUGGGGAAUAUUGCACAAUGGGGGGAACCCUGAUGCAGCAACGCCGCGUGAAGGAAGAAGUAUUUCGGUAUGUAAACUUCUAUCGACAGGGAAGAAAGAAAUGACGGUACCUGAAUAAGAAGCACCGGCUAAAUACGUGCCAGCAGCCGCGGUAAUACGUAUGGUGCAAGCGUUAUCCGGAUUUACUGGGUGUAAAGGGUGAGUAGGCGGUUAUGCAAGUCAUAUGUGAAAUUCUGGAGCUCAACUCCAGCGCUGCAUAAGAAACUGUGUAACUAGAGUACAGGAGAGGUAAGCGGAAUUCCUAGUGUAGCGGUGAAAUGCGUAGAUAUUAGGAAGAACACCGGUGGCGAAGGCGGCUUACUGGACUGAAACUGACGCUGAGUCACGAAAGCGUGGGGAGCGAACAGGAUUAGAUACCCUGGUA